GCUCAUUUCUUUCUUCUUUUCUCUAUACGUUGGUGUUCUAACCAAUAAUCACUCAAUCGCUAUUACGAUUCAUUUUCCGACCGAUCAAUAUAUCCAAUGGAUGUUUAAGUGCCGCCCACAUUAGGGUUAUACUUUGUCGUUCGUCGUUAAUUCGAUGAAUGUUUAAGUAUCGCACUUUGUCGUUCGUUGUGAGAAUUUGAUCCCGUGAGUUAUCGUAAAAGCUGUAUUGAUCAUUAACCCGGUUUUUGUGAAAUUCGUUAAGGUUCGAAUCUCAUGACUACCGUUAAGGUUUGAUUUGGAUUUUACACCAAUACGUAUUCCAUUCUGUUAAACUAUGUAUUUAACUACCAAAAAUACUCCCAACUACACCCUUACAGUCAAACAAACUAUUAAAUCAUCAGAAGAUCCAAAAUAAUAAAGUGCAUGCUUAAUUAUCGGAAGAAGUAGAAUCAAGAAGUUUGUUAACUCAAUCCUGCAUGCUGAUUUGUGAAAUUAUAAUUACAGUGAUUAAGUUGAUGUAAUCACCAAAUUACAGCCAGUAUGUGGGGUAUUGUGCACAUUACUACUGUUUUAUCACUUUAGGUGGGUGAACCUAAAAUUAAGUGAUACGUCAUUCAUUUGGGCAGCCAAUGGUGAUAUGACCACUGUCACAGAUCCGGUCGAGUGACAAAUACUCUGGGUAGUUGGUUGAUAUCAGAAACAUGCGUAAAAGAUCUUAACACUGUAUAUUAAAAUAAAUGUGUCAUUUUCAGUAAAAUGAAUGAUUCACUCAGUAUUUCCCCGCUGACAAAACCUUUUUAAAACGCGUUUCAGGUAAUUACAGUAGCUUGGAGUAAGGAUUGGAUCCGGCACUAAAAGACUUCAAGAAGUGGCUUAUUUUAUUAAUUAAAUCAAAUAUUGUUUUUAUUAAAAGCUACCUUUGUAAAACAUGGAAUUUAUUCCAUCUAUUUAAAUAAAAACCGGUGUUUCUAAACUCUGAUAUUUUCCUAACUCACGGUCCUGAUGAAAUUUCCGCUGCAAUAUUUUUCAAAAUAAUCACCGGUACCACUGGACUGCUCACGGCACCCGAUUCCGGCUAGGAUGGGGUCGGGGGUCGUGACAGAAGGUGGUAUCAGAGCUAAGCCACUGCUUUAAGCCUAUAAGUGUUGUGAUGACAAUACUUAAGCUUAAAUAAAAGAGUUAGGAGAUUGCUAUUAACUGGUAGCACAUCUGAUAGCAUUUAGACUUGAACAUAAGAAAAGAUGCCUUAGUAUAAACUAAGCCACUUGUUUAGAGCAAGUAGGUGUUAUAAUAAUAAUACCUAAGCUUAAACGGAAAAUUAGAAACUUAAUAUUAUCUGAUAGCACUCUGAAUGAUAUUUAGACUUGAACUUAAGAAUUUUGUCUUAAUAUAAGCUUCAAGAUAAAAUUACUUAUAUAAGUAUAAAUAAGUAUAAUUGGUAUUCAAUAAAAAUAACGACUAGCAGGCAAUAGCAUUUAAUUGCUAUUUAUUCUUGUUUAUUGGUAUUACUUGGUCAAGAAUAAAGAUAUAUUAUGGAAAUACAAAUUUCCUUGAUUCUGAAUAGAAGC
RNAcentral lists this long non-coding RNA (1568 nucleotides) under Helianthus annuus (common sunflower). RNAcentral describes it as "hypothetical non coding rna". Lineage: Eukaryota; Viridiplantae; Streptophyta; Magnoliopsida; Asterales; Asteraceae. The record is from RNAcentral.